Molecule: long non-coding RNA, 947 nt
Organism: Oryzias melastigma (Indian medaka)
Lineage: Eukaryota; Metazoa; Chordata; Actinopteri; Beloniformes; Adrianichthyidae
Exons: 6
Source: RefSeq, a predicted model, not a curated record
UCUUUGGGUCGUCAGCACUUUACAGCCUCCUGUGCACUCACAAAAACAGUUACUAAAGCUAUCAAUCCAACAUGUGCAGAAGACGACUACAACCUCUCAGCAGUAUCUGUAUACCUGAGAGAAACUAAUCUACACCAGUCGUCAGGACUACAACAUGUCCUGAAAAACAUAAUUGGCCACCACACCAAGACUGCAGACCAUUAAUCCAUUACUCCCUGAUGCCCGUCCCUAACCAUGCCAGGCAAAGGCUAAUACUAUUUUGGCUCUUUGUAGCUCCAACCAGGGCAGGCAGCCAGAAUUUCUGUGUUUUGGGAAGGAGUUCUUCAGCUAAAAUGGACAAGCUAUCAAUCCAACAUGCCCAUCCUUGACCAUACCAGGCAAAGGCAAAUACUCCUUCAGCACUUUGCAGCUCCAACCAGUGCAGGCUGCAGGAGCUUCUGUGUUUGGGAGAGGAGUUCUUGAGUUAAAAAGAUCAAGAUUCUGCUUUUCUGCGCAUGCUGACCAGAAGCAAACUGAACAUCUACAACACAUGUUCCUUCUCUGACUUUGUGCCAAUCCUUCUCUGUUUUCAAGCAUUGACAAGCAUCCUAGACAGUGACAAAGGACAUCAGAACAUUGGAAGACCAUCAUUUCUCCAAUGCUCAUUGGGAAUUGACAUUGUCCUCUUCCACACCCUGACAACUACGUAUACUGGAAGAACAAAAGUUUCAGAGAUUUUGGGGAGAAAAAAAAAAAAACCCUCAAAACCUCAGCUGGACGUUCAAGACUUUUGAACAUAAGAAAAGACUUCUCUUUUGCAGGAGCCUGAGCAGCAACAAUGUCAACUACCACAGGCAACUAACUCCAAAAUAUGGAUCAACUGUAAGACUCUUAAAGUACAAAAAAAAAAGACGUUCUGGAGUGCAACCUUUUAAACACAAACAAAAAUCCUUACUUUAAAAAAAAAA